UACGUAGGGGGCAAGCGUUGUCCGGAUUUAUUGGGCGUAAAGAGCUCGUAGGUGGUUCGGUAAGUCGGAUGUGAAAUCUCCAGGCUCAACCUGGAGGGGUCAUUCGAUACUGCCGUGACUAGAGUUCGGUAGGGGAGUGUGGAAUUCCUGGUGGAGCGGUGGAAUGCGCAGAUAUCAGGAGGAACACCAACGGCGAAGGCAGCUCGCUGGGACGGUACUGACGCUGAGACGCGAAAGCGUGGGGAGCGAACAGG
This 254-nucleotide ribosomal RNA is filed under the name uncultured bacterium. RNAcentral describes it as "partial 16S ribosomal RNA". It matches the Rfam family "Bacterial small subunit ribosomal RNA", at positions 524 to 776 of the family's 1533-position model. The record is from RNAcentral.